RNAcentral lists this ribosomal RNA (261 nucleotides) under uncultured prokaryote. Its description in RNAcentral is "partial 16S ribosomal RNA". It matches the Rfam family "Bacterial small subunit ribosomal RNA", at positions 524 to 784 of the family's 1533-position model. The record is from RNAcentral.
UACGUAGGGCGCAAGCGUUAUCCGGAAUUAUUGGGCGUAAAGAGCGCGCAGGUGGUUGAUUAAGUCUGAUGUGAAAGCCCACGGCUUAACCGUGGAGGGUCAUUGGAAACUGGUCGACUUGAGUGCAGAAGAGGGAAGUGGAAUUCCAUGUGUAGCGGUGAAAUGCGUAGAGAUAUGGAGGAACACCAGUGGCGAAGGCGGCUUCCUGGUCUGUAACUGACACUGAGGCGCGAAAGCGUGGGGAGCAAACAGGAUUAGAUA